UCGGGAAUAUUGGACAAUGGGCGAAAGCCUGAUCCAGCCAUGCCGCGUGAGUGACGAAGGCCUUAGGGUUGUAAAACUCUUUCGUCGGGGACGAUAAUGACGGUACCCGAAGAAGAAGCUCCGGCUAACUUCGUGCCAGCAGCCGCGGUAAUACGAAGGGAGCUAGCGUUGUUCGGAAUCACUGGGCGUAAAGCGCACGUAGGCGGAUAGUUAAGUCAGGGGUGAAAUCCUGGGGCUCAACCCCAGAACUGCCUUUGAUACUGGCUGUCUCGAGGUCGAGAGAGGUUGGUGGAAUUCCUAGUGUAGAGGUGAAAUUCGUAGAUAUUAGGAAGAACACCAGUGGCGAAGGCGGCCAACUGGCUCGAUACUGACGCUGAGGUGCGAAAGCGUGGGGAGCAAACAGGAUUAGAUACCCCGGUAGUCCCUGAGCGGGCUGGCAAGGCGCAU
RNAcentral lists this ribosomal RNA (447 nucleotides) under uncultured bacterium. RNAcentral's name for it is "bacterial SSU rRNA". It matches the Rfam family "Bacterial small subunit ribosomal RNA", at positions 355 to 825 of the family's 1533-position model. The record is from RNAcentral.